GGAGGAUUCGCAUAGUGGUCUAGUGCGCAGUCCUGGAAAGACUGUGGGUCUUAACGGGCCCCGAGAGUUCGAAUCUCUCAUCCUCCG
RNAcentral lists this transfer RNA (87 nucleotides) under Candidatus Vogelbacteria bacterium. RNAcentral describes it as "tRNA-Ser". It matches the Rfam family "tRNA". From Rfam's summary of the family: Transfer RNA (tRNA) molecules are approximately 80 nucleotides in length. Their secondary structure includes four short double-helical elements and three loops (D, anti-codon, and T loops). Further hydrogen bonds mediate the characteristic L-shaped molecular structure. tRNAs have two regions of fundamental functional importance: the anti-codon, which is responsible for specific mRNA codon recognition, and the 3' end, to which the tRNAs corresponding amino acid is attached (by aminoacyl-tRNA synthetases). tRNAs cope with the degeneracy of the genetic code in two manners: having more than one tRNA (with a specific anti-codon) for a particular amino acid; and 'wobble' base-pairing, i.e. permitting non-standard base-pairing at the 3rd anti-codon position. The record is from RNAcentral. Lineage: Bacteria; Candidatus Vogeliibacteriota.